RNAcentral lists this long non-coding RNA (636 nucleotides) under Chrysemys picta bellii (western painted turtle). RNAcentral describes it as "lncRNA (ENSCPBG00000024282.1)". The record is from RNAcentral. Lineage: Eukaryota; Metazoa; Chordata; Testudines; Emydidae.
AUCAUCAGCUCUAGUCUUCUCUGUUUCGCUAGCUCAUAUACUCCUCCUCUUUCUUAGCCAGAUUGCUCUAGUCGCUCACAAGGGGGAGAUUGGACUAUGAAAAAAGGUUUCUGCUGCAGCUUGCAUUCCUGCUGCAAGGGCCUCCUCUUCAGACAGCCUUUGCCAGAGCAGAACUUUUCAAAAUGCUACAAAUAGGAUCUUCUUUUUUCUCCUUUAUUUAACCCUUCUCCUUUUAAAAAAAAAUGGGACUAAUUUUUCUUGUUUUCGGUGCUGUGCUUGGCUGUACAGUAUAUCGCAAUGUUGAGGUUAAAGCUACAAGUAUUUCUGCCACCACCCCCGCUGAUCCAUUUUUUUUCCGUCUUGGUUAAAGAAAUUGAUUUAUUUGACUGAGCAAUGAAUCAGGAUUUGCUAGUUUGUAUGCUGUGAGAAUGAUGGCUUUUAUUUGAAAUUUUUUUCUCAGUGCCAAUGCCUUGUGCUGCUCAUGGAACCAGCUUCUUUCUUUCUGUAUGUUUUUUAAUUGCUUCAGUCUCCUAUUGUUGUUGCUGGGAGCUGGCAGCCAGGGGUAGUUGUGGCAGGGAAAGCAUGUGGACGAAAAGCUGGAACCCGUUGCUAGGAGACUGCAGAACUGCAAGGUGA